This 71-nucleotide transfer RNA is filed under the name Methanocorpusculum sp. RNAcentral describes it as "tRNA-Gly". It matches the Rfam family "tRNA". From Rfam's summary of the family: Transfer RNA (tRNA) molecules are approximately 80 nucleotides in length. Their secondary structure includes four short double-helical elements and three loops (D, anti-codon, and T loops). Lineage: Archaea; Methanobacteriati; Methanobacteriota; Methanomicrobia; Methanomicrobiales; Methanocorpusculaceae. The record is from RNAcentral.
GCGGUAGUGGUCUAGCGGUAUGACAUGGGCUUCCCAAGCCUAUAAUCCGGGUUCGACCCCCGGUUAUCGCA